RNAcentral lists this ribosomal RNA (478 nucleotides) under uncultured bacterium. RNAcentral's name for it is "partial 16S ribosomal RNA". It matches the Rfam family "Bacterial small subunit ribosomal RNA", at positions 28 to 523 of the family's 1533-position model. The record is from RNAcentral.
GACGAACGCUGGCGGCGUGCUUAACACAUGCAAGUCGAACGGUAAGGCCCUUCGGGGUACACGAGUGGCGAACGGGUGAGUAACACGUGGGUGAUCUGCCCUGCACUUCGGGAUAAGCCUGGGAAACUGGGUCUAAUACCGGAUAGGACCACUGCCUGCAUGGGGGGUGGUGGAAAGCUUUUGCGGUGUGGGAUGGGCCCGCGGCCUAUCAGCUUGUUGGUGGGGUGAUGGCCUACCAAGGCGACGACGGGUAGCCGGCCUGAGAGGGUGACCGGCCACACUGGGACUGAGAUUAGGCCCAGACUCCAACGGGAGGCAGCAGUGGGGAAUAUUGCACAAUGGGCGCAAGCGUGAUGCAGCGACGCCGCGUGAGGGAUGACGGCCUUCGGGUUGUAAACCUCUUUCAGCACCGACGAAGCGCAAGUGACGGUAGGUGCAGAAGAAGGACCGGCCAACUACGUGCCAGCCGCCGCCGUAA